RNAcentral lists this transfer-messenger RNA (356 nucleotides) under Wenzhouxiangellaceae. Its description in RNAcentral is "Wenzhouxiangella sp913057255 Standard tmRNA". It matches the Rfam family "transfer-messenger RNA". From Rfam's summary of the family: Bacterial tmRNA, also known as 10Sa RNA or SsrA, is named for its dual tRNA and mRNA-like properties. Its role is to liberate the mRNA from a stalled ribosome. RNAcentral also lists the same sequence under 1 other name. The record is from RNAcentral. Lineage: Bacteria; Pseudomonadati; Pseudomonadota; Gammaproteobacteria; Chromatiales.
GGGGGCGUACCGGCUUCGACGUGGAUCGGACGUACCUUGGGGCAUGCCGAGGAGACAGCAACCCUCGUAAAACCUGGCUGUAAAAAGUUAGUUGCCAACGACGACAACUACGCACUGGCUGCUUAAACCCAGCCUGCUCUCUACCGGUUGAGCCUACGCUUCCGAUUAGAGAUCAUUGAGUAGGAUCGCGCAGCUUCGAGUUUCGGGGAGUUGUGUUAAAUCAAACCGCAACUGGUCGAUGCGUAUGCCCUGCCCCUCGGGCGGCGGAUCGAUGAGAAAAAAUCGAGUGGGCUAAGCAUGUAGAACCAAGAUCAGAUGGUUUGCGGACGCGGGUUCGACUCCCGCCGCCUCCACCA